Molecule: long non-coding RNA, 280 nt
Filed under: Mustela putorius furo (domestic ferret)
Lineage: Eukaryota; Metazoa; Chordata; Mammalia; Carnivora; Mustelidae
Description: lncRNA (ENSMPUG00000030408.1)
Source: RNAcentral
AAAGAUUACUAAAAUGAAGGAGAAUGGAUACAAAAGAGAAUCCUGAUGCCUCUUUUCCACCAAAAAUAUGUAAUUUUGCCUUCGGCAGCUCUCAGCAAACUGGCAGAGUUCCUACUGGACAAUGAACCAACAAAUGGUCUGGAACACUUAGUAAAGAAAGAUUUCAGAUUAUAUGGUAAAGUCAACUGCUCCAAAGAAACACAAUAUCUUACGGAUGGCAACAGAAUAAAAAGAACCUUGAGUCCCUGCUAUCAUGAAAUGACCAAAACGGACCUUAACC